GUUACUAUAGUUACAGCCCGUAUUAAAGGGUAGGUAGCAUGAACAGAACCAUCACGUUACUAUAGUUACAGUCCGUAUUAAAGGGUAGGUAGCAUGAACAGAACCAUCACGUUACUAUAGUUACAGUCCGUAUUAAAGGGUAGGUAGCACGAACGGAACCAUCACGUUACUAUAGUUACAGUCCGUAUUAAAGGGUAGGUAGCACGAACGGAACCAUCAGGUUACUAUAGUUACAGUCCGUAUUAAAGGGUAGGUAGCAUGAACGGAACCACUUGUAACAUUAUGGAUUUGGGUUAUUACAGAAAUGUAUUUUAUUUUGAUUUAUAUUUUUUUAACCUUUAUUUAACCAGGCAAGUCAGUUAAGAACAAAUUAUUAUUUUCAAUGACGGCCUACCAGGGAACAGUGGGUUAACUGCCUUGUUCAGAGGGCAGAACGACAGAUUUAUACCUUGUCAGCUCGGGGAUUUGAUCUUGCAACCUUUCGGUUACUAGUCCAACGCUCAAACUAACCACUAGGCUACCUACCGCCCCUCUAACCACUAGACUACCUGCCAUCUCUCCACUCUAACCACUAGGCUACCUGCCCCCCCUCUAACCACUAGACUACCUGCCAU
Molecule: long non-coding RNA, 614 nt
Filed under: Salmo salar (Atlantic salmon)
Lineage: Eukaryota; Metazoa; Chordata; Actinopteri; Salmoniformes; Salmonidae
Description: lncRNA (ENSSSAG00000090859.1)
Source: RNAcentral